This 84-nucleotide small RNA is filed under the name Cedecea davisae. Its description in RNAcentral is "OmrA-B family". It matches the Rfam family "OmrA-B family". RNAcentral also lists the same sequence under 1 other name. Lineage: Bacteria; Pseudomonadati; Pseudomonadota; Gammaproteobacteria; Enterobacterales; Enterobacteriaceae. The record is from RNAcentral.
CCCAGAGGUAUUGAUAGGUGAAGUCAGCGACUAAUGCUGAUCCUAUGAAUUACACCAACCUGCGCGGAUGCGCAGGUUUUUUUU